RNAcentral lists this ribosomal RNA (253 nucleotides) under uncultured bacterium. Its description in RNAcentral is "partial 16S ribosomal RNA". It matches the Rfam family "Bacterial small subunit ribosomal RNA", at positions 524 to 776 of the family's 1533-position model. The record is from RNAcentral.
UACAGAGGAUGCAAGCGUUAUCCGGAAUGAUUGGGCGUAAAGCGUCUGUAGGUGGCUUUUUAAGUCCGCCGUCAAAUCCCAGGGCUCAACUCUGGACAGGCGGUGGAAACUACCAAGCUGGAGUACGGUAGGGGCAGAGGGAAUUUCCGGUGGAGCGGUGAAAUGCGUAGAGAUCGGAAAGAACACCAACGGCGAAAGCAGCUCGCUGGGACGGUACUGACGCUGAGACGCGAAAGCGUGGGGAGCAAACAGG